GUUGUAUGGUUAAGUGACUAAGCGUACACGGUGGAUGCCUUGGCAGUCAGAGGCGAUGAAGGACGUAGUAACUUGCGAUAAGCGUAGAUGAGGCAGUAACAGCCACUUGAGUCUACGAUUUCCGAAUGGGGAAACCCACUGGCAUAAGCCAGUAUCAUUGAGUGAAUACAUAGCUCAAUGAAGCGAACCGGGAGAACUGAAACAUCUAAGUACCCCGAGGAAAAGAAAUCAACCGAGAUUCCGAAAGUAGCGGCGAGCGAAAUUGGAUUAGCCCUUAAGCUUUACAUGUGUUAGACGAACGGUCUGGAAAGUCCGACGAUACAGGGUGAUAGUCCCGUAGUUGACGAUGCAUGUUCAGUGAAAUCGAGUAGGGCGGGACACGUGUUAUCCUGUCUGAAUAUGGGGGGACCAUCCUCCAAGGCUAAAUACUCCUGACUGACCGAUAGUGAACCAGUACCGUGAGGGAAAGGCGAAAAGAACCCCUGUGAGGGGAGUGAAAUAGAACCUGAAACCGUGUACGUACAAGCAGUAGGAGCACCUUCGUGGUGUGACUGCGUACCUUUUGUAUAAUGGGUCAGCGACUUAUAUUCAGUGGCAAGGUUAACCAUCUAGGGGAGCCGUAGGGAAACCGAGUCUUAACUGGGCGCCAUAGUCUCUGGAUAUAGACCCGAAACCGAGUGAUCUAGCCAUGGGCAGGUUGAAGGUUGAGUAACAUCAACUGGAGGACCGAACCGACUAAUGUUGAAAAAUUAGCGGAUGACUUGUGGCUAGGGGUGAAAGGCCAAUCAAACUCGGAGAUAGCUGGUUCUCCCCGAAAGCUAUUUAGGUAGCGCCUCGGACGAAUACUACUGGGGGUAGAGCACUGUUAAGGCUAGGGGGUCAUCCCGACUUACCAACCCUUUGCAAACUCCGAAUACCAGUAAGUACUAUCCGGGAGACACACGGCGGGUGCUAACGUCCGUCGUGGAGAGGGAAACAACCCAGACCGCCAGCUAAGGUCCCAAAUUACAGCUAAGUGGGAAACGAUGUGGGAAGGCUUAGACAGCUAGGAUGUUGGCUUAGAAGCAGCCAUCAUUUAAAGAAAGCGUAAUAGCUCACUAGUCGAGUCGGCCUGCGCGGAAGAUGUAACGGGGCUAAGUUGUAAACCGAAGCUGCGGCAAUGUUCUAUGAACAUUGGGUAGGGGAGCGUUCUGUAAGCCGUUGAAGGUGUGUUGUAAAGCAUGCUGGAGGUAUCAGAAGUGCGAAUGCUGACAUGAGUAACGACAAGGGGGGUGAAAAACCUCCCCGCCGGAAGACCAAGGGUUCCUGUCCAACGUUAAUCGGGGCAGGGUAAGUCGACCCCUAAGGCGAGGCUGAAAAGCGUAGUCGAUGGGAAACGGGUUAAUAUUCCCGUACUUCUUACAAUUGCGAUGGGGGGACGGAGAAGGCUAGGUGGGCCUGGCGACGGUUGUCCAGGUUCAAGUGCGUAGGCUGAGUGUUUAGGUAAAUCCGGA
Molecule: ribosomal RNA, 1493 nt
Filed under: Vibrio vulnificus
Lineage: Bacteria; Pseudomonadati; Pseudomonadota; Gammaproteobacteria; Vibrionales; Vibrionaceae
Description: partial 23S ribosomal RNA
Rfam family: Bacterial large subunit ribosomal RNA
Source: RNAcentral